AGGAUGAGAAGCUUCGACUAAGGUUCGAUUCGAGCGCAGCGAGAAAGCGUUGCCGUAGGCAACGACCCGAAGGGCGAAGCGCGCAGCGCUGAGUCAUCCUUCCCCCACCACCA
This 113-nucleotide small RNA is filed under the name Salmonella enterica. RNAcentral's name for it is "partial RtT sRNA". It matches the Rfam family "RtT RNA", at positions 19 to 130 of the family's 130-position model. Rfam says of the family: This family represents a bacterial cis-regulatory element known as RtT RNA. The exact function of RtT is unknown although it is thought that it may be involved in changing the cellular response in relation to amino acid starvation. Lineage: Bacteria; Pseudomonadati; Pseudomonadota; Gammaproteobacteria; Enterobacterales; Enterobacteriaceae. The record is from RNAcentral.